AUUGAACGCUGGCGGAAUGCUUUACACAUGCAAGUCGAACGGCAGCACGGACUUCGGUCUGGUGGCGAGUGGCGAACGGGUGAGUAAUGUAUCGGAACGUGCCCAGUCGUGGGGGAUAACGUAGUGAAAAUUACGCUAAUACCGCAUACGAUCUAUGGAUGAAAGCGGGGGAUCGAACGACCUCGCGCGAUUGGAGCGGCCGAUAUCAGAUUAGGUAGUUGGUGGGGUAAAGGCCCACCAAGCCAACGAUCUGUAGCUGGUCUGAGAGGACGACCAGCCACACUGGAACUGAGACACGGUCCAGACUCCUACGGGAGGCAGCAGUGGGGAAUUUUGGACAAUGGGCGAAAGCCUGAUCCAGCCAUUCCGCGUGCAGGAUGAAGGCCCUCGGGUUGUAAACUGCUCUUGUACAGAACGAAAAGGUUUCUACUAAUACUAGGAGCUCAUGACGGUACUGUAAGAAUAAGCACCGGCUAACUACGUGCCAGCCGCCGCGGUAA
This 500-nucleotide ribosomal RNA is filed under the name uncultured bacterium. Its description in RNAcentral is "partial 16S ribosomal RNA". It matches the Rfam family "Bacterial small subunit ribosomal RNA", at positions 30 to 523 of the family's 1533-position model. The record is from RNAcentral.